AUUGGCUGUUAGCUAAAUUGUUUCACAGAAUUGUUUCACACUGCUAUCAUUUCAUUGGCUGUUAGCUAAAUUGUUUCACAGAAUUGUUUCACACUGCUAUCGUUUCAUUGGCUGUUAGCUAAAAUGUUUCACACUGCUAUCGUUUCAUUGGCUGUUAGCUAAAAUGUUUCACACCGCUAUCGUUUCAUUGGCUGCUAGCGAAAAUGUUUCACAGAAUUGUUUCACACCGCUAUCAUUUCAUUGGCUGUUAGCUAAAUUGUUUCACAGAAUUGUUUCACACUGCUAUCGUUUCAUUGGCUGUUAGCUAAAAUGUUUCACACCGCUAUCGUUUCAUUGGCUGCUAGCGAAAAUGUUUCACAGAAUUGUUUCACACCGCUAUCAUUUCAUUGUCAGAAAGCGUGUGAUCACAAGAGCGCCAAAGCCUUUCCUUGAGCUAAUGUUCCAGCAAUAGGGUGCUUCUCAAUUCCUCGCUCCUAUGACCGGGACACCGAUCAAGCUCCGCCAUCAUGCAGGAGGAACGAGGAGUUAGAAGACUUUCUGAGGAGGCAUGAGUGAGGAAACACCCUUUUUCGUCAAUGUCUGGCAGCCUGUCCCACAGCCGUAUAAUGGCAGCGGGCAGCGGCUACCCAUGUCCGAGAUACAAGGCCUUUCCCUCAGCUCAACAAGGUAUCUGGCCAGGUCCACCACUUUGUCGAAUCCUGGAGUACCGUUUGGUCCUCUGCACACCUAACAAUUAGAAAGAAGAUGAGUUAGUAUGGAUGAAAAGGUCCUCCAAGUGAUAGCAUGGCAAAGGAUGCUUGUAUGCAUGCAUACAUCUUCCUGGGGCCCAGGUGGCAAGUCCUGGGAGGACUGAGAGGGUGACGGUGAAUCCCGAGACAAGCUUAUAGCUUCCUUGGUUGAGACAAAGGAAAGAGGGGAGAUGGUGUCGUCCUGCUCCUCUGCCUCAUCGCCAAAUCCCUCAUCUUCUAUAUCUCCCAAGUCCGCUGGGAUUCCGUCUGAGACAUCUGGGUCCCGGCCAAAGUUCUCCCGGAACUCCCAGGACUGCUGCGAGCACAGGCGGUGUGAAUAUAGGUACCAUGUGUGAGAAGGGAAAACAUCUGCAGUUUAACAGGUCUGUCUCAUGGAUUCUUUCAGGACCGGACCCCUGCAUUAUCACUAUCUAACACAGACAGUGGCGUCACUGGGAGGGGGGGUGUAGGACAAUUUUAUGGGCCCCUAAAGAUCAUUUCUAUUAGUAGUAACAUGGGUGUGGAAGAGGGCCCAACCACAUAUUCUUUCAUAUAGGGCCCAAAAUUCAAUGCAAUUGAACGUCUCACUAUAGUAACCCAUUAUAGGCCGUAAGUUUCAAAAGAACUUGCUGAAUUGAAUGUGUUGUCCUUACUGUUGUACAAAUCGCAAUCAAGUUAUAAAAAUACUAACACAGCCUUUGUAAAAGACCAUGUUGUUUUUAAUGACAUUAUGAUGGCAGAUAAAUGGAGAAAACAGUCAUAUGGAGGCAAUUAUUCUUCUCUUCAGCUCAUGAGGGAAAGUGCAACCACCAGCCAUUUCUUUGGGUUAUUGCCGACUACUUAAUUUUUAAUGGUGAGUUUAUUGUGAUGUAAUGUGUGGAUCAUUGGUGGAUCAGUUAGCUGUCAAUCACAAAACACUCCAGCGAGCUUUCAUACCCAGCAAACAAUACAAACAUAACAAGACACUAAUCUAAUGCCAAAGGGCGUAAAGGGUCCAUAUUAUGCAAAAUCCAGUUUAUACAAGGUGUUUUGAAGAUAAAUGUGUGUAGGCAUUGUGUGAACACAA
This is a non-coding RNA of Misgurnus anguillicaudatus (oriental weatherfish), 1794 nucleotides long. The record is from RefSeq and is a predicted model, not a curated record. NCBI's taxonomy places the organism in Eukaryota, Metazoa, Chordata, Actinopteri, Cypriniformes, Cobitidae.